GAUGAACGCUGGCGGCGUGCCUAAUACAUGCAAGUCGAGCGAACAGACGAGGAGCUUGCUCCUCUGACGUUAGCGGCGGACGGGUGAGUAACACGUGGAUAACCUACCUAUAAGACUGGGAUAACUUCGGGAAACCGGAGCUAAUACCGGAUAAUAUAUUGAACCGCAUGGUUCAAUAGUGAAAGACGGUUUUGCUGUCACUUAUAGAUGGAUCCGCGCCGCAUUAGCUAGUUGGUAAGGUAACGGCUUACCAAGGCAUCGAUGCGUAGCCGACCUGAGAGGGUGAUCGGCCACACUGGAACUGAGACACGGUCCAGACUCCUACGGGAGGCAGCAGUAGGGAAUCUUCCGCAAUGGGCGAAAGCCUGACGGAGCAACGCCGCGUGAGUGAUGAAGGUCUUCGGAUCGUAAAACUCUGUUAUUAGGGAAGAACAAAUGUGUAAGUAACUAUGCACGUCUUGACGGUACCUAAUCAGAAAGCCACGGCUAACUACGUG
This 497-nucleotide ribosomal RNA is filed under the name uncultured bacterium. Its description in RNAcentral is "partial 16S ribosomal RNA". It matches the Rfam family "Bacterial small subunit ribosomal RNA", at positions 28 to 507 of the family's 1533-position model. The record is from RNAcentral.